UGGGGAAUAUUGCACAAUGGAGGGAACUCUGAUGCAGCGACGCCGCGUGAACGAAGAAGGCCUUCGAGUCGUAAAGUUCUUUUAUAUGGGAAGAUAAUGACGGUACCAUAAGAAAAAGCCCCGGCUAACUACGUGCCAGCAGCCGCGGUAAUACGUAGGGGGCUAGCGUUGUCCGGAAUCACUGGGCGUAAAGGGUUCGCAGGCGGAAAUGCAAGUCAGGUGUAAAAGGCAGUAGCUUAACUACUGUAAGCAUUUGAAACUGCAUAUCUUGAGAAGAGUAGAGGUAAGUGGAAUUUUUAGUGUAGCGGUGAAAUGAGUAGAUAUUAAAAAGAAUACCGGUGGCGAAGGCGACUUACUGGGCUCAUUCUGACGCUGAGGAACGAAAGCGUGGGUAGCAAACAGG
RNAcentral lists this ribosomal RNA (403 nucleotides) under Verrucomicrobiota bacterium. RNAcentral's name for it is "Verrucomicrobia bacterium partial 16S ribosomal RNA". It matches the Rfam family "Bacterial small subunit ribosomal RNA", at positions 355 to 776 of the family's 1533-position model. Lineage: Bacteria; Pseudomonadati; Verrucomicrobiota. The record is from RNAcentral.